This 598-nucleotide long non-coding RNA is filed under the name Triticum aestivum (bread wheat). RNAcentral's name for it is "long non-coding RNA (TAES_LNC003704)". Lineage: Eukaryota; Viridiplantae; Streptophyta; Magnoliopsida; Poales; Poaceae. The record is from RNAcentral.
GUUGAUCCUAUGAUCAUCCUGCUCUCUGCAAAUGCUGAUUGCUCACCUACAUCAGGUUUCAGAGAGGAAUUCUUCCAGGAGCAUCUGCAACAGCCUUGAAACCUGCAAUGUUCAAGUCAGUUUUAAUGGUAGCUCCCUGAGGAUGGUCAGUCAUCAACAUCUGAUCAUCAACACUUACAGGUAACACUAAUUAAAUAUACAAGAUUAAUUAGGACACAUCAGCACGCCAACAAGCAGAAAUCAUAAUCAUAUCAUCUCUUGGGCAACAGAACCACUAACUCCGGGCAUGUUCUCAUGAUCUCAUCAAUGGAACAUCCUUUGAGAUGAAUCUAAAGAAUGGAUCAGAGUUGGGACAGCAAACUGUUGAGUUCAUGGCUACUGACAACACAGCACAUAGCUGACGCUGCAAGAAAUUGGAGGUUCAUUACAAGAAAACCCAUUCAUCCGCUUACACAUAGCUACUGGCGGGGGAAAUUAUAAGCUUAGUGGAAAAAGCCAACAACAGCAUGAAAAACAAGCACCAGUGCACAAAACCAACUACUAAAUAGCGAGGACCCUUGUAGCCUUGAAUUUGUUUUUGAUGAGAGUGGCCUCCUAC